UACGGAGGGUGCUAGCGUUGUUCGGAAUUAUUGGGCGUAAAGCGCGUGUAGGCGGCGUGACAAGUCGGGUGUGAAAGCCCUCAGCUCAACUGAGGAAGUGCGCCCGAAACUGUCGUGCUUGAGUGCCGGAGAGGGUGGCGGAAUUCCCCAAGUAGAGGUGAAAUUCGUAGAUAUGGGGAGGAACACCGGUGGCGAAGGCGGCCACCUGGACGGUAACUGACGCUGAGACGCGAAAGCGUGGGGAGCAAACAGG
RNAcentral lists this ribosomal RNA (253 nucleotides) under uncultured bacterium. RNAcentral describes it as "partial 16S ribosomal RNA". It matches the Rfam family "Bacterial small subunit ribosomal RNA", at positions 524 to 776 of the family's 1533-position model. The record is from RNAcentral.